UACGAGAGGCCCAAACGUUAUUCGGAAUUACUGGGCUUAAAGAGUUCGUAGGCGGCGCAGAAAGUAGGGUGUGAAAGCCCUCGGCUCAACCGAGGAAUUGCGCUCUAAACUACUGUGCUUGAGGAACCUAGAGGUGAGCAGAACAGAUGGUGGAGCGGUGAAAUGCGUUGAUAUCAUCUGGAAUACCGGAGGCGAAGGCGGCUCACUGGGGGUUUUCUGACGCUGAGGAUCGAAAGCCAGGGUAGCGAACGGG
This 253-nucleotide ribosomal RNA is filed under the name uncultured bacterium. RNAcentral describes it as "partial 16S ribosomal RNA". It matches the Rfam family "Bacterial small subunit ribosomal RNA", at positions 524 to 776 of the family's 1533-position model. The record is from RNAcentral.